UAAAUUGAGAGUUUGAUCCUGGCUCAGGACGAACGCUGGCGGCGUGCCUAACACAUGCAAGUCGAGCGGGAGACUUUGGUCUCUAGCGGCGGACGGGUGAGUAACACGUGGGUAACCUGCCUUAGUGAGGGGGAUAGCCUCCCGAAAGGGAGAUUAAUACCGCAUAACAUUGCGAUAUCGCAUGAUAUUGUAA
Molecule: ribosomal RNA, 193 nt
Filed under: Clostridium rhizosphaerae
Lineage: Bacteria; Bacillati; Bacillota; Clostridia; Eubacteriales; Clostridiaceae
Description: partial 16S ribosomal RNA
Rfam family: Bacterial small subunit ribosomal RNA
Source: RNAcentral